This 117-nucleotide signal recognition particle RNA is filed under the name Gorilla gorilla gorilla (western lowland gorilla). RNAcentral describes it as "Metazoan signal recognition particle RNA". It matches the Rfam family "Metazoan signal recognition particle RNA". From Rfam's summary of the family: The signal recognition particle (SRP) is a universally conserved ribonucleoprotein. It is involved in the co-translational targeting of proteins to membranes. The record is from Rfam by way of RNAcentral. Lineage: Eukaryota; Metazoa; Chordata; Mammalia; Primates; Hominidae.
GCUGGGCGUGGUGGCUUAUGCCUGUAAUCCCAGCACUUUGGGAGGCUGAGGUGGGAGGAUUGCUUGAGCCCAGGAGUUUGAAACCAGCCUGGGCAACAUAGCGAGAUCCCAUCUCAU